This 480-nucleotide ribosomal RNA is filed under the name uncultured bacterium. Its description in RNAcentral is "partial 16S ribosomal RNA". It matches the Rfam family "Bacterial small subunit ribosomal RNA", at positions 28 to 506 of the family's 1533-position model. The record is from RNAcentral.
GAUGAACGCUAGCGGCAGGCCUAAUACAUGCAAGUCGGACGGGAUUCAGGAGCUUGCUUCUGAUGAGAGUGGCGCACGGGUGCGUAACACGUAUGUAACCUACCUUUAUCAGGGGAUAGCCUCUCGAAAGAGAGAUUAAGCCCGCAUAAAAUCACAGCACAGCAUUGUGUAAUGAUCAAAUAUUUAUAGGAUAAAGAUGGGCAUGCGGAACAUUAGCUAGAUGGCGGGGUAACGGCCCACCAUGGCGACGAUGUUUAGGGGAUCUGAGAGGAUGGCCCCCCAAACUGGUACUGAGACACGGACCAGACUCCUACGGGAGGCAGCCGUAAGGAAUAUUGGUCAAGGGGCGGAAGCCUGAACCAGCCCUGCCGCGUGCAGGAAGACGGGCCUUCGGGUUUGAAACUUCUUUUAUACGGGAAUAAACCCAGGUACGUGUAUUUGGCUGAAUGGACUGUAAGAAUAAGGAUCGGCUAACUCCGU